GGAGGGUGCGAGCGUUAAUCGGAAUCACUGGGCGUAAAGCGCGCGUAGGCGGCUUUUCAAGUCAGGGGUGAAAUCCCACGGCCCAACCGUGGAACUGCCUUUGAAACUGUAGAGCUUGAGUGUCGGAGAGGGUGGCGGAAUUCCAGGUGUAGGAGUGAAAUCCGUAGAUAUCUGGAGGAACACCGGUGGCGAAGGCGGCCACCUGGACGACAACUGACGCUGAGGUGCGAAAGCGUGGGUAGCAAAC
RNAcentral lists this ribosomal RNA (247 nucleotides) under uncultured bacterium. RNAcentral's name for it is "partial 16S ribosomal RNA". It matches the Rfam family "Bacterial small subunit ribosomal RNA", at positions 527 to 773 of the family's 1533-position model. The record is from RNAcentral.